RNAcentral lists this ribosomal RNA (402 nucleotides) under uncultured bacterium. RNAcentral describes it as "bacterial SSU rRNA". It matches the Rfam family "Bacterial small subunit ribosomal RNA", at positions 355 to 774 of the family's 1533-position model. The record is from RNAcentral.
UGGGGAAUCUUGCACAAUGGGGGCAACCCUGAUGCAGCGACGCCGCGUGAGCGAUGAAGCCCUUCGGGGCGUAAAGCUCUUUCGACCGGAACGAUAAUGACGGUACCGGGAGAAGAAGCUGCGGCUAACUACGUGCCAGCAGCCGCGGUAAUACGUAGGCAGCAAGCGUUGUUCGGAGUUACUGGGCGUAAAGAGUGCGUAGGCGGUUUUCUAAGUUCGGUGUGAAAUCUCCCGGCUUAACUGGGAGGGUGCGCCGAAGACUGGGAAGCUGGAGUGUGGGAAAGGCAGGCGGAAUUCCUGGUGUAGCGGUGAAAUGCGUAGAUAUCAGGAGGAACACCUGCGGUGUAGACAGCUUUCUGAACCAAAACUGACGCUGAGGCACGAAAGCGUGGGUAGCAAACA